AACGAACGCUGGCGGCAGGCUUAACACAUGCAAGUCGAACGCAUGCCUUCGGGCAUGAGUGGCAGACGGGUGAGUAACGCGUGGGAACCUACCCCUUGGUACGGGAUAGCUCCGGGAAACUGGAGAUAAUACCGUAUGUGUCCUGAGGGACAAAGAUUCAUCGCCAAGGGAUGGGCCCGCGUCGGAUUAGCUAGUUGGUGGGGUAACGGCCUACCAAGGCGACGAUCCGUAGCUGGCCUAAGAGGAUGAUCAGCCACAUUGGGACUGAGACACGGCCCAAACUCCUACGGGAGGCAGCAGUGGGGAAUAUUGGACAAUGGGCGCAAGCAUGAACCAGCCAUGCCGCGUGAGUGAUGAAGGCCCUAGGGUUGUAAAGCUCUUUAACCGGUGACGAUAAUGACGGUAACCGGAGAAGAAGCCCCGGCUAACUUCGUG
This 435-nucleotide ribosomal RNA is filed under the name uncultured bacterium. RNAcentral describes it as "partial 16S ribosomal RNA". It matches the Rfam family "Bacterial small subunit ribosomal RNA", at positions 29 to 507 of the family's 1533-position model. The record is from RNAcentral.